Molecule: long non-coding RNA, 2361 nt
Organism: Cyprinus carpio carpio
Lineage: Eukaryota; Metazoa; Chordata; Actinopteri; Cypriniformes; Cyprinidae
Source: Ensembl
GACAGAUCCAUGUUUCUCUGCUGGCUGUAACAAAGUAUUAGAUUUGUUGUAAAAUACAUGAGAUUUAAAUCUAAGACUGGCCACCUUGUCGUCUUAUGAAAGCUGAUAGAUUUGUUGAGCACACGAGGAAGCAGAUGACUGAGUCUGCUCGUAAGUGAAACUGAAGUGCAGUUGUUGUUCCGCUCCACUAGGCGGCGGAAGCGACUUCACGUUCAGUCUGAGCGCUUCCGAUGAGGGACAGAAUGACGCUUGUUGUGACAACAUGUGCAGACCGUUUAAAAUACAGAUCCUGCAGAUGACAGCUCAGUGACAGUGUUUUUAAUAUCAGUAAACAGCAUCUAUUCCAGCACAUAAACAAACAGAACCGACAACCUCUGCGAUAAAGUGCAGGAAUGGAGAGUCACUAUUAAGGGAUGUGUUUGAACAGAAGCAGAGCUCUGGGACGUGUGGACAGACUUUCACUGUAAUGAUGGACAUCCGCUCGUGGACAGAAGUAUAACCCCUGCUGGACAUGGUGCCGGGGCUCGGGGGGGACCCGAAUCGUCCCCAUCCCUUCAUUCACACAACACUCACUCAUAUCGCGGAGAUCUGGCUGGGAUCGAACCAGCAACCUCUGAACCGUGAGGCAGUGCUCUUACCUGUGAGCCACAGAUCUCUUGUCUGAAUGUGUGAAGGAACUUAUAUUUCACUGUUCACCUGCAUGUGCUUUUAUAAUAAACCAGUUAAAGCGUGAAGUUGGCUGAUUGUUGUCACUGAGAUGGGAUUUGAACCCAUGCCUCAAUCACAGUCUUAUCAUCCGAAAACAUCUGAUUAACCACUAACCCAUUGUGGUUUUCACAUUUUGUGCCUGACUUUUGUGGUACUUUGUUGAAUGUGAAGGAACUUAUAUUUCACUAUUAACCUACAUGUGCUUUUAAACUAGUUAAAGCUUUGGCAGAGUCUAUUUCGAAUCACUCCUUCACUCAUAUAGCAGAGAUCUGACUGGAAUCGAACCAGCUGAACCAUGAGGCACCUCUGAACCAUGAGGCAGUACUCUUACCUGUGAGCCACAGAUCUCUAGUGUGAACAUGUAAAAGAACUUAUAUUUCACCGUUCACCUGUGACAUAAACCAGUGAAAGUUUAAACAUGCUGGAGCGGGAUUUGAACCCAAGCCUUUACCAUAACCUUGUUCUCAACCAAUGUGUUUAACCACUAGUGCCAUCGUGGCUUUCACAAUGAGGGCUGUUGUUUGGGGCACUUUGUUGGAUUUAAUGACAGGCUUUGUGGGAAGCACUGUGUUUGGGAAGCAAACGCUCAACCACUAAGCCACAGAGCUGAGGGUGUUUGUUGCAAAAGUUUGUUUCAGGGGUCAUUUAGAUGUUAUGUUUAGCUACAGCAUUAAUUGAGAGCUGCAAGUUAACACAAGUAAUAUUGAGAUUUGAGCUCAGGCCUCCAAGAUUAAAAAAACAACGCUUUACCUCCUACAGACACAGCAUUAAUACUACUACAGUUUAACACAUGUAACAUUUUUAAUCUUCUGAGACACUGACUCUGUGGAUUUCAACUAUGAUUUGAUCGUGAUAUUGAGGACUUUUAAGGCAAAUGAUUAACCUCUGUGCCACAGAUUUGUGAUUUUGUGUCUUGUAAAUUUACAUUGUUAAAACAGAAAGAGAUUAUUGCAUUUAUGAGAUUUGAAUUUGCCUCUGUUGUAGUUUUGUUCUUAAAAGACCUGCAUUUAAACCACAUCAUCAGGUUUUUUUUUUGUAGUGGGAUUUCAGCACAUGUGAAAACACAAGGCUCAAUCCACUGAGCUUUAAGAGCUAAUUUUUGUCACAUAGAAAUAUGAAAAGAAUUGUGUAAAUGUAUUUAUUUUUUUAUGGGUCAUCUUGCUUUUGUCUCCGUGAGCCAACAGCUCUUUUAGAGAUACCACAGCUAACCACUAAAAAAAUUGGUUACGAUUAAAUUUCUUUUGGAUAAAAACAAUUCAUUAUCCACAGGAUUCAUCAGUGCUCAUCUCAGCUUGAUCAACUCAUUCUGAGCUUAAGCCUCAUAGCGGGACUAGAAAGAUUCUUUGUUAUGAGAUGUUGCAGGGGAAUAUGCUUAUAUUAAAUCUGUUUGAUGAGUAAUAAGUGAAAUAUUGUACCAAAUAAACUGUUGCGGGAAAAAAAAAUACAAUCUAUUUAUUAACUAAAGUCUGUCAAAUGUCAGUCUUGUGUUUAAAUGCAUUAAACUGAUAACACCAACACAACUUGUGAACAGCAUCGUUUGUUUAUUGAAAUCAAGUUUUAUAUGAAUUAGAAACAUAGAACCCAAUAAACCUGCCUGUAAUUUUCUAGUAAUCCUAAAGACCUUGAUUAGCUGUUCCAUGUGUUUUUAAUCAG